RNAcentral lists this ribosomal RNA (274 nucleotides) under uncultured bacterium. Its description in RNAcentral is "partial 16S ribosomal RNA". It matches the Rfam family "Bacterial small subunit ribosomal RNA", at positions 523 to 796 of the family's 1533-position model. The record is from RNAcentral.
AUACGGAGGGAGCUAGCGUUGUUCGGAAUUACUGGGCGUAAAGCGCGCGUAGGCGGCUUGGCAAGUUGGGGGUGAAAGCCCGAGGCUCAACCUCGGAAUUGCCCUCAAAACUACCAAGCUAGAGUCCGGGAGAGGCAGGCGGAAUUCCUAGUGUAGAGGUGAAAUUCGUAGAUAUUAGGAAGAACACCAGUGGCGAAGGCGGCUUUCUGGACCAAUACUGACGCUGAGGUGCGAAAGCGUGGGGAGCAAACAGGAUUAGAAACCCUAGUAGUCC